AUUGAAUAUACUACUACUUAUUUACUGACCUGGACAGACCGUCCACAAAACUGAAUGUUGUGAUGGAUUGUGUGAGUGGUCAAACAACGAUCGUCUAUGUAAGAGACUAAAACGACGUCAUUUUUGGAGAUCACAAACAGCCCCGUUUUAGGCUAAAAAAUAAAUAGAGGCUUGUUUACCUUUGGUCGGGAAAUGUGAAGAGGCAGAGGUGUGUAUGCCUCUGCCACUAGCCAGAAAGAAAGAAGAGGAGACCUAUACAUCGAGGAAGAAGGGUUG
This 276-nucleotide long non-coding RNA is filed under the name Carica papaya (papaya). RNAcentral describes it as "long non-coding RNA (CPAP_LNC014517)". The record is from RNAcentral. Lineage: Eukaryota; Viridiplantae; Streptophyta; Magnoliopsida; Brassicales; Caricaceae.